GGUCUCCAGCUGUGAGGGGUGGCUUGAAAAACUUUUAAGCAAUUCAUCUGAAGACAGACUGCUAGCUGGCUUGCUGGCUGCAGACUGGAUUAAUAAAGACAACUCUCAACAACGGAUAUCUUGGCUCCCGUAACGAUGAAGAACGCAGCGAAAUGCGAUACGUAGUGUGAAUUGCAGAAUUCCGUGAACCAUCGAAUCUUUGAACGCAAAUUGCGCUUGAGGCCUCGGCCAAGAGCAUGUCUGGCUCAGCGUCGG
RNAcentral lists this ribosomal RNA (255 nucleotides) under uncultured Trebouxia photobiont. RNAcentral describes it as "5.8S ribosomal RNA". The stretch from base 101 to 254 matches the Rfam family "5.8S ribosomal RNA". Rfam says of the family: 5.8S ribosomal RNA (5.8S rRNA) is a component of the large subunit of the eukaryotic ribosome. The record is from RNAcentral. Lineage: Eukaryota; Viridiplantae; Chlorophyta; Trebouxiophyceae; Trebouxiales; Trebouxiaceae.